GAUGAACGCUGGCGGCGUGCCUAAUACAUGCAAGUCGAGCGAACAGACGAGGAUCUUUCCCCUCUGACGUGAUCGGCGGACGGGGGAGUAACACGCGGAUGAAAUAUCUAUAUGACUCGGAUAACUUCGGGAAACAGGGGCUCAUAUCGGGUAUUAUAUUUAACUUCAUAUGUCACUAUUGUAAAACGGUGUUGCGGUCUCUUUUAUAGAGGUCCGCGCCGCAUUAGCUAGUUGGUGAGGUAACGGCUUACCAAGGCGACGAUGCGUAGCCGACCUGAGAGGGUGAUCGGCCACACUGGAACUGAGACACGGUCCAGACUCCUACGGGAGGCAGCAGUAGGGAAUCUUCCGCAAUGGGCGAAAGCCUGACGGAGCAACGCCGCGUGAGUGAUGAAGGUCUUCGGAUCGUAAAACUCUGUUAUAAGGGAAGAACAAGUGUGUAAGUAACUAUGCACGUCUUGACGGUACCUAAUCAGAAAGCCACGGCUAACUACGUG
Molecule: ribosomal RNA, 497 nt
Filed under: uncultured bacterium
Lineage: Bacteria
Description: partial 16S ribosomal RNA
Rfam family: Bacterial small subunit ribosomal RNA
Source: RNAcentral